GGCGGCGUGCCUAAUACAUGCAAGUCGAACGGUCUUUCUAUGGAAGCUUGCUUCCACUGAGAAGAUAGUGGCGAACGGGUGAGUAACACGUGGGUAACCUGCCCAUAAGAGGGGGAUAACAUCCGGAAACGGGUGCUAAUACCGCAUAGUUUUCUUGAUCGCAUGAUCGGGAAAGGAAAGACGGCCUUUGUGCUGUCGCUUAUGGAUGGACCCGCGGCGUAUUAGUUAGUUGGUGAGGUAACGGCUCACCAAGACGAUGAUACGUAGCCGACCUGAGAGGGUGAUCGGCCACAUUGGGACUGAGACACGGCCCAAACUCCUACGGGAGGCAGCAGUAGGGAAUCUUCCGCAAUGGACGAAAGUCUGACGGAGCAACGCCGCGUGAGUGAAGAAAAGGUUUUCGGAUCGUAAAACUCUGUUGUCAGAGAAGAACAAGUUGGAGAGUAACUGCUCCAGCCUUGACGGUAUCUGACCAGAAAGCCACGGCUAACUACGUGCCAGCAGCGGC
RNAcentral lists this ribosomal RNA (508 nucleotides) under uncultured bacterium. RNAcentral's name for it is "bacterial SSU rRNA". It matches the Rfam family "Bacterial small subunit ribosomal RNA", at positions 38 to 518 of the family's 1533-position model. The record is from RNAcentral.